RNAcentral lists this transfer RNA (75 nucleotides) under Kitasatospora cheerisanensis KCTC 2395. Its description in RNAcentral is "tRNA-Val". It matches the Rfam family "tRNA". From Rfam's summary of the family: Transfer RNA (tRNA) molecules are approximately 80 nucleotides in length. Their secondary structure includes four short double-helical elements and three loops (D, anti-codon, and T loops). Further hydrogen bonds mediate the characteristic L-shaped molecular structure. tRNAs have two regions of fundamental functional importance: the anti-codon, which is responsible for specific mRNA codon recognition, and the 3' end, to which the tRNAs corresponding amino acid is attached (by aminoacyl-tRNA synthetases). tRNAs cope with the degeneracy of the genetic code in two manners: having more than one tRNA (with a specific anti-codon) for a particular amino acid; and 'wobble' base-pairing, i.e. permitting non-standard base-pairing at the 3rd anti-codon position. Lineage: Bacteria; Bacillati; Actinomycetota; Actinomycetes; Kitasatosporales; Streptomycetaceae. The record is from RNAcentral.
GCGCGAUUAGCUCAGCGGGAGAGCACUACCUUGACACGGUAGGGGUCACUGGUUCAAUCCCAGUAUCGCGCACCC